Long non-coding RNA from Scatophagus argus, 2205 nucleotides. RefSeq lists it as uncharacterized. The record is from RefSeq and is a predicted model, not a curated record. The transcript is spliced from 3 exons. NCBI's taxonomy places the organism in Eukaryota, Metazoa, Chordata, Actinopteri, Scatophagidae.
UUUUCUGCCACAAGGAGCCGCAAAGACGCAUUCCUAUCACUCCCACCUCUAAAUGCAGUCUAGAGCACUAUAGGCGUGAGAUCAAUGAUUAGGAAAUACUGUGUGUCAUAAACAGUGGUAAGGGCAGUUCUGUAUAAUUUAUUAGAAUCUGUUUAACACAUGGGUGGAGAUAUUCAGCUCACGUUUAUUAUUUUCUGUCACGAUGUUAACCCCCACAUUCUUAAUUAGACUGUUAGUUUGGUAACCCAGUAGUUAAUUUAAUUUGCAUUAGAGGACAUAGAUUAGAACAUUGUUAAUGCAGUGCCACAAGUCAAGGAAAUAUUGAACAUGAUUCUUCACUCAGAGGGAGAGCUCCUCCCAGCAAGCUGCAUUUGAAGAUUUCACAUUUGUGUGGACAGUGACGGUGGUUCGUCGCAAUUUCCUUUUCCUCUUUAAACCAAAGUUAUCUCAGUUGAACCAUAAAUACAUUCUCAACACACAUGGCAACUAUCUGUAUGAAGUGACCUCAAAUUCCAGAAACACACUUUUGCAUAUCAUCUAAAAGCUUAUUCAUAUAUUUAAUGUGUGACAAAGGCAGAAUGAUCUCCCUUCUAUUUUUGUGGUGCCUACCAGGUGGAUGUUUGGGUCUUGAAGUCCGUCUGUCUCCCUCUGAGCUCAUCACAAACCCUGGUGACAAAGGGCAGAUUUCCUGCAGCCAUGAUAAGACUGACUACACACUGAUGCGCUGGUACCAGCAGUCACCUGGAGACACAGCUAUGAAACUGAUUGGAUAUUUGAACUACGACAAAGAUACUAUGGAAGAGCCAUAUAAAGAGGAUUUCAGUAUUGCUGGAGAUCUGAGUGGGAGCACAGCAAAGAAUGGCUCUCUCAUAAUCAAACGUGUCAAAGAAAAUCACAGUGCAGUUUACUACUGUGCAGCCAGCUAUGCACAGUGACUGCAGUCUGUGUCUCCUUUAUACAAAAACUACUGAAUCUUAUCCACGUUCUGGUUUCAAAUGACACCUUGAACAGACUCCUCCCAGCCAGCUGCAUUUGCUCUCAAGCUUCCAUCUCUGCCUGCUAAUGUGCAGCCCAGUGAGGAUGUUUCUUCAUCACUUUCCUUUCCUCUUCACACCUCACUCAGCUCAGUGGAGGCAUCAACUCAGUCUGCAUCUCUCACAGAUUAACACUCAUUCUGAUCUGCUAAGCUUUGUCAUAUGUGGUCCAACAGGUCAUGUGAAGGUUUCAAGUAACUGCUUUUAUUUUUGAAGGAGGACAAAAUGAUCUACUUUCUCCUCGUCUGUUGUGUGGCAGGUGGAUGUUUGGGUCUUGAGGUCCGUCAGUCUCACUCUGAUCUCAUCACAAACCCUGGUGACAAAGUGCACAUUUUCUGCAGGCAUGAAAAGACUGACUACUGGGUGAUGCUCUGGUACCAGCGGUCACCAGGAGACACAGCUAUGAAACUGAUUGGAUAUUUAUACAACGACAAAGAUACUAUGGAAGAGUUGUAUAAAGAAGAUUUUAACAUCGCUGGAGAUCUGAGUGGGAGCACAGCAAAGAAUGGCUCUCUCAUAAUCAAAGAUGUCAAAGAAAAUCACAGUGCAGUUUACUACUGUGCAGCCAGUGAAGCACACUGACAAAAAUCCCCUCUGAACUUUACAAAAACUCUUCACCAUCUUUUAUCAGGGUUUGAACCAACUGCUCUCUGACACCUGCUUUUGUGGUUGUGUUUUGGUUUGAUGCAGUCACAUCACCAUCAGUCAAUUUUUUUGUGGUUUAUUCUAAUUUAACCAAAUUCGACUAAAAUGUAGCGAGAUCUGCCAAAAGAAGAACAUUUCUGUUGGUCAGUCGGGUGAAAGGAAGAGCGUUCAUCAGUUUGAUAUGAAACUAGAUGAAGCCACUCCUCCUUUCCACAUCACAUUUGCUUCACACUGAAAUGCGACUCAGUUUAGUGAGGAAGCACAAACGGCCUGUCAUCAUUAAGCACUUAACUCAGUGCUCCAUGUCAGAUCUCUACGUGAUGAUUAAAUUCCUCUUCUGCUGUUUCCUCACAGGUAACAACAGCUUCAUUCUCAACUAAGAUGUCCUGCACUGUUUACCUUCUCAUCUAAACUCAGUCUGUCCAUCUCUGCUUACAGCAGGUAUUUCUCUGGGGAUUCAGGUCCAUCAGUCUCCUCCUGCUGUCAUCAGAAAGGCUGGUGAAGACGUGCAGCUUAUCUGCACUCA